This is a long non-coding RNA of Nicotiana tabacum (common tobacco), 736 nucleotides long. RefSeq lists it as uncharacterized. NCBI's taxonomy places the organism in Eukaryota, Viridiplantae, Streptophyta, Magnoliopsida, Solanales, Solanaceae. The record is from RefSeq and is a predicted model, not a curated record.
AGAGACCCAUCUCACUACUUACCCUUCCUCUCUUUCAUCUUUCACCCUCUGCCGCCGCCGUAAAUCGCCUACGUCGGCGGUCCACCACCAAACCACCCCAAAAUUAUACCACAUAAUCCCCACAACUUUCUAAAUCCUAACCCCUCAUCAAUUUCCCCAGAAAACCACCCAAACCUCACAAAUUUCAGAUCUUAGAAACGGCCAGCAGCCCUAGGUUCUUUCUUUGGAUUUUUCAAGAUCUCCAAGAUUUGACUCGACCCGAAAUUUGCAUUGUUUGAUUGUUCUCAAUAAGAACAAUCGAAUGAUGUUAAUUUCGACUCGUUUCGAAAAUAUCGGAGUUGGUCGAUUACCAAUUUUUCUCCUGACCAGCAUCUAUUUGGCCUCAAUUGGUAUGUAGUUGAGUUCUGGAUCUAAUCAACUUGUUAUUUCGCUUUUGUUUCGAUCUAUCUGUUAGAAGAUGUUUAGAGUUGACAUACACUCCAUUUAUGUAAUGAUUUAAGUUAUGACAAACUCUAAAGCUGAGGGAUGGAUUUGAAGUCACUGAAAAGGGAAGUUUAAGUUGUGGGUUUAGUCGUAUCUUAUUCUGGGAUGGCUAUUAUUGUAAACGACUUCUGUGUAUAUUGGAAAACGUUCAUAUUGUCGAGGUUUGUUAUUAAAGUGGCCAUAUUAGUUAUCUGCUUAGCUAAAAUGUAUUCUCUGUUUAAUUGUGUGAUUAUCAAGUGCUUAGUUCUGCAUA